AGGGAUUUGGCGUUCGCUACAGCCGAGCACCAGGUACUGCCACGCUACGACUCAGCUCCUCGCCGACCGGAGCGAGGUGCCGUCGCGGUCCGAUGCCGAGCGCCGCCGCGAGCACCAGGCCGCCGCGCUCGGGGCGACGCUGCCCGCACCAUCCCUGCGAUGCGCCCACCUCCAACCCGGCGGCGAUGGCGAUGUCCGCGAGGCCCUGGGCGCGAGGGAGGCGAUGGCGAUCAGCUGAAGCGGCGGCGCCGUCAUCCUACACCGGGAGGCGGGGCCUGGUGGUGCACGAGGCUGCGGGACGCGGAAGGGGGAGAAGCAAUGGAGGUACUGUUCGAGGAGGCGGGGCGCGGAGGGAGAGAGCAGUGGAGGUGCUGACGCUGACGCCGCGGCGCUUCAUGGAGGUCAACUAGGAGGUGGACGAGGCCUUGCAGCUCGCAGCCGACCUGCUCGCCGAUGCGCCAAUAGGGAUCUGCUCGCCGGCGGGGACGCCGUUUUCUUCUAGUGAUGUGCGGAUGGUGAACUGCUCGCCGGGAUUCACCCCGAGCCCAGGUAUUCCGCCGCCUCCUAGUAGCCGCCCGAGCUGUGCUCAUGUGCCUUGCCGUUAGCUGAGCUCUCCUACUGCUACUGACCUGGGACGAGCACAACAGCAGAGCACAUGCGUGCAGAUUUAGUUAGAACAGGAAGUUUCGUCACAAAGAAUGGUUCAGGUUCAGCUUAAUGUACACUGAAACUUUGCACUUUUGUUGUACAGGGAGUGGGAGUAUUCGGGGAUAGGAUAUGUGCAUCGAGCAGAGGGGGCCGGUGUUCACUUCAGGUUUCUUGCCUCAGUCAGAUCAAUUCUGGAGUCCUUGAUCUCCCCGUCCUUCAUCAACAGCUUUACGUGGGAAGGUAUUGGAUAUUACUAAAAGUUUAGGAGAGCAAAUGUAUGAUAGACAAAUAUGCAAAAUAAGAAUGAACUCUUUUUUAGUUGUUCGGUAGCACAUCAUACACUGAUUGCACUGAAACAGGAAUUGCUAGACUAUUGAUGGAGAAGAUCAUGUGUCCCCUUUUUUUAUGUUGUCUAGCAGUGACUUGGGAAUUUGUUUAGCAGUGACAUGCCAAUUUGUUUGACUUUAGAUUUCUGGUUCACAUGGGUACACAUUGGGUACAUCUUGACAAUAUUUUUUCUGGAAUAGUUUCUUUUGAGCAUGGCAAAUUGUGUAGAACAUGAUAUUUAGUACAAUAUGGCAAAUUGGCAACUAGUGUCUAGUGUUUAGCACUGUUUAGUGUUGUUUGUCCUCGUGCGAGAAUUAUAUUGUCAGGACCCUGACUCAAUGCCACAUCGAUCUAGCAUGUAACACCUCAUAUCACUUUGCGGCCUCACGCACGGUAUUCCCACGGGUGUCGCCUUACCUUUGCCCGGGACCGUUUGCGCCUUUUGGCACACGUAUAUGAUAGUGUCGCUAGCAUCCAUAUGAUAAGGAGCCCGGGCUGACAUGGCUAGUCGUAAACCCAAAGUGGCACAAACUUACAGGGACAGGCAUCCAUGACUCAGCAUCGAACGUGUCGGUCAUCAGCGAGUGAAUCCAGGCUGUAGCACUGGGCUAGCAGGACUCCGGUGAACCGGGCUGUAGCGGGCUAAUAGGACUCCGGUAUUCAUCGCGUGACAUUUCCCCGAGGGGACAGACACAGGAACGAAGAAGGACACAUGCCGGCCAGCCUAAGUGUUGCGGAGCAGUAGCAAGCUACCAUGGCUCGGUGGAAACACUAGGAGACAUUUCCCGGUAAGAGGGCUACUAAGGAUAAACAACUAGAUAGUCAGAUCCCACACAUACCAAGCAUUUCAAUAACAUACACACAAUAUGCCCGAUAUGUGCAAAUACAACAUGGCAUCACAACAUGACUCUACGACUCAAGUAUUUAUUCAUUAGGCUCCGAGGAGCGAGAUAUUACAAACAUAGGUCUUAUGACCCAACAUUCAGAGCAUACAAGUCAAAACACAAGCGGAAGCUAUCAUGUCUGAGUACAGACAUCUAUAAAUGAAAAAGGCUGAAAGCCUGACUAUCUACUAGAUCCUGCCGAGGGCACAAGAUCGUAGCUGAGGUAACAAGCUAAACGUCGAAGUCCACGCGGAAUUACUAGUGAGACUGAAGUCUCUGCAAAAACAUAAAAUAGGCAAACGUGAGUACAAAUGUACCUAGCAAGACUUACAUCAGAACUAACUACAUAUGCAUCAUUAUCAACAAGGGGAUGGUGGGGUUUAACUGCAGUAAGCCAGCUUUGACUCGGUGGCUAUCCUGAACUAUGACUGCAAGUAACUCUUUAGAGGUGGCGCACACGAGUCCACAUAUUCACCAUAUCAAUACACCACUAUGGAUCCGCUCCCGUCUCCCUACGAGAACGCCAUCCAUAGCACUCACGCUUAUCUUGCGUAUUUUAGGGUAUCCACUUUCACUUGCCUAUGAACUGAUAUAAGCAACCCAGAAGUCCUUUACCGCGGACACGACUAUUCGAAUAGAUGAUGUUAACCCUGCAGGGGUGUACUUCUUCAUACAUGUUUCCACCACUUAGCGUCUGCACACGACAUGUGCUCGGCAGACUUCAAGCGAAAGCCGACGUGGGUGUAGACCACGACCUACCUAAACACUCAAGUCUCUAGUCCAGGUUUAUCGCCUAUUCGGGUUCCAUCCAUGAGGAGAUCCGGCCGGGGUUUCGCUCACAGCCCCAAACGAUGUGAACAGGGUUCUGUGACACCAAACGGGCGCCCGGUAUACCCGGCCACGGUGUAUCUACCGCAUCACAGCCCACCCCUCGGGUCAGCGCUGCCCACGGCCUCCAACACAUAUCCUACAAACACCAGAAACUAGUUGCAACUCCUGGACAGAGGACAAGGGUGAAUAAGAAGUCGAGCGGGGUCAUAUUUCAGGGCCCAAUGUAUGGUAGUAGCUGAAUCAUGGAUCACAAACACAGAACUCAGUUCCUAAGGACGGCUUCAAUGAGACAACCCACCAUGUACUCCUACAUGGCCUCUCACCGCUACCUUUACCAAAUCGUGUUCACCACUUAGCUCACACACAGUAGGACAUGUUCACACACCUCUGAUUCAUCCCCGAUGAAUCAGACCUGACUCAACUCUAAGCAAUAGCAGGCAUGACAAACAAACAUGAAUGAGUAGGCACCACAUGGCUCAAACAACUCCUACUCAUACUAGUGGGUUUCAUCUAUUUACUGUGGCAAUGAAAGGUCAUGCAGAGGAUAAAGGGGUUUAGCUAUCGCAGCAAGUAACAGAUGAAUCGUUGUUGUCCUAAUGUAGUAAAAGAGAGCAGGAGCGAGAGAGUGGGAUUGUAUCGGAAUGAACAAGGGGGUUUUGCUUGCCUGGCACUUCUGAAGAUAACAUCGAGUCUUCAUCAGUGUCAACGAUCACAUCGUCGGUACAACGUCUACCGAGGGGGAACAACACCGGCAAACACAGAAGAAACACGAUCAAUGCAAUGCACAAUAUGAUGCAUGCUAUGACAUGGCAAUAUGAAUGUGUUUUGGGCUAAUGCACCUAGCUAUGAUUUAAAUGAAGUUGGUUUGAUUACAUGAUUCAAAUUCCAACUCCAUAUAUGAUUAUUUAAAUGCCCUGUAUUUGUUUUGUCCAAAACAGAGGACAAACAUUGUUCAAACAUGGAUGAAAAUGGUACAGAUGGAUUCCUUAAAUUUUUCUGAUAAUUUUUCAUAUAUAAUUUGUUUGAUUUGGAGUCACGGUUGAAUUACUAUGACUUUUAGAAGUUUUAGCUAUUUUCUGAAAUAAAUAAAUCGUUUAGAUUUAUUUAAAAAUCCAGAAAAGGGUUUACUGCGUCAGCAUGACGUUGGCAUGACGUCAGCAGGUCAACAGGGGCUGGUCCGGGUCAAACCUGACCAGCGGGGUCCACUAGUCAGUGGCAUAACUAAUUAACCAAGUUAAUUAGCCUUAAGUUAAUUCUAACUAAAUUGUUUGUGGGGCCGGGGCCCACUAGUCAGCGACUAAUCAGCUAACUGACCUAGGUUAAUUAGUGUUAAACUAAUACUAACUAAAAAUGUCAGGGGGUGGCCCACACGUCAGUGACACACGGGGAAGGUCAAACCAUGGCCAAACUCGGGUCAACUCGCCGGAGUUGACCCGCGGCUCGUCGCCGGCAGAGCCAGAGACGGCGGAGGGGUGCGGGUUUUGUCCUUCGACGACCAAAUUAGCGGCCGAGACCACCCAUAGAGAGCUGGCACUCUCGCGCAUCCAUUGAAGCAAGCGAGAGAGGCUGCAGUGGAGUGAGCUCGCUGGAGUCGAGCUCGUGGCGGCGGCCGGAGUACGGGCGAGGUCCGGGUUGGCGCUAGGGGGCACGGGAGGGGGAGCUGGUGUGUGUGUUAGGCUCCUGGUGAGGUGUGGAGCACGUUGCCGUGCUCCGGGAGUUAGCUAUGGUGGCUCUGGCCUCGUCUGCGUCAUCGCCGGCGGCGAGGAGCUCACGGCCCCCGGUGAAAAGGGCGGCUAGAGUGCAGGAACGAGCGCGGGGAGGAGGGGGAAUGGAAGAGGAGCUCACAGCGGAUCCGAUAGAAGCAACGGCGAGGCCGGGGAGGGGCUGGAGCUCGCGAAUCCCCGAAAGUUCGCCGGCGGCCGAAGGUUGGGGACGAGCUCUGGGAAGACGCUACAGGGCUCCCGCAGUCGAAUGGGUUGGUGUAGAAGACACAGAAGGCGAUGGCGGUUCCUCUGGACUCAUCGGAGAGGCACGAGGUGGACGGUGGCCGCGGUGGUGCUCGUCGGCGGCGGCGGGUGUGUUCGGUGGUUGCGUGCGAGAGAGCCAGAGGAGGAGAGGAGCUCGGGGAGAGAGUGAGAGGCCCGGGGGGCGCGUGGAGCUGCGGGAGACGCCCAGGGAGAGGAGGAGGCAGCCAGGCAGGGUGGUGGCGUGGCGAGCUCGGCGGCGUCGCGGUGUCCCUCCUCUGCCUACUGGCACGAGGAGGAAGGCGACAGGGAGGAGGUGGUGGUGGGCUAGGCCGGCCAGCUGCAGUGUUGGGCCGGUUGGUGGCGCCAGGUAAGUGCCCCAGGUAGGCUCUCUCUCUCUCUGGUUUUUCUAUUUAUUAAUGUUUUCUAUUUUUUGUAAUUGGUUUUGAUUUGAUUUAAAACAUCAAAUCAUUUUUUUAACUUUUUGUAAAUUGUAUGUGAGCUCAGGAACUAGUCCAAGGUCACAGGAAACUUACAAAAAUAUUUGAACUUUAUUUCUUAUAUAAUAGAAAUAAAUUCAACUCAAAUAUGUCGUUGGUUUAAGUCAAAGGCCCAAAAUAAAUAUUUCUGUGAUACCAAAAAUAUUGGUUUGAAUUUUACCUCAUGCCAAUAUUUUUGCAGAAUAACAUGAACAUUUUCUUCGACUCAUUUGAUGAGAUUUAAAUGUUGGUUAUUUUUAGAGGACUUCUGAGGUUUUUGAAAAUUCCUCAAUUCAAAUUUCAUUUGAAUUUAAACAUAAUGCACACAUGGAAGCUGGCAUAGGUCAGACCAGAAUUAGGGAUGUGACAUAUAUUCAGUAAUUUGCCAUGGCAUUUGUCCUCCUGUAUUUAGUCUGUAGUGCAAAUUUUGUAAACUUGCCAUGUGAUCAGUACAUACAAACUCUAGCUUUGAAAUGAAUCAUGAAUCGAAUUUUCUCUAGAUUUUGCCAUGAAUCAAAAGUAUAUAUUGUUGAACACUGUUUUGCCAUGGCAAAAAGGAUUUUAUAGCUUUUGGCAUGCCUCUAAUAUAGCUUUUUCCAUGUCACCACUAUAACUUUUGGCAUGACAUACACAUAUUUUUUUUACCAAGGCAAAUUUGCUAAUCUGUUUGCCAUGCCUCUAAUAUAGUUUUCGCCAUGUCACCACUACAACUUUGGCCAUGUUCACAUGGAGUAGUAAAAAAACAAAUUUGAGUUGAUUGUAGAAAUAUGUGUUUGUUUCCCUUUUUUUGACUUUGUAGGAUUGAUGAUGACCACAUUAAGCAUUGCAACUUUUAAGAGAUUUGAUUUUGCUUUUGUACUUACUACUGCAAAUCCACCCAGGUAAGUUUGCCAUGUCAAUUAACAUGCAGUAUGUUUGUGCCAUGGCAAAUUUGCAUUCUUUUUCAUUUCAUUUACACGGCAAGUCUUCAAAACAUUUUAGUAUUCCCUCCAUCUCGAAAUAUAUCUACAACCUAGAAAAUUACCUAAAAACUAAUUACUUUUUUUAAACAGAAAGAGUUACUUUCGCGCCACCUAAUUUAGGUGUACAGUUGUUUGCGCCAAUACUUUUUAACCUCCCGCUAAAAGGUCCCAAAUUAGCGUCUUUGUUCCCACCAGAAAAUUAGCUUCCCGCUAAAUACCUUCCUAACAACCCACGAAUAUAUAAUUCUAGACCAAACGACGGCGUCUUCACGGGCGAUUGGAUCUGAGCUCUCGUCUCGGUUCAUCUCUGCUGCCGGCGUCAUGACGGCGUCAACAGAGCGAACCACAUCAGGUGCACAGCGUCAGGUUAGUCCUCCUCCCGAUCUCCUUCAUCGCUGAAAAAUCCAGUCCUCCUCGAUCUCCCCCUCCCCCCUCUCCUCUGCGUCCGCCUCCGUCCGGGAUCAAACCCCCCUCCCCCACGAGCUCCUCAUCGAUGCGCGGCUCUCUCAAUCCUGAUCCAUUCAGAGGGGCUGCCCCUUCUCUCCUCCGCUCGCCGCUUGGCCGUAGAAAAGAAGUCAGGGCAAUGGACAUGCCGCCGCCGGUGGCAUUUUCCCAUCGCGCCUCGAUUUGGCCGCCUCGGCUGAGGCGCUCGUGGCCUGGAGGGUCGGCGCAGCGCCUCACCUUGGCCUGGAGGCUGGCCUCCAUGGAGCUCGCCUCGGCCUUGAACUGGGGCUCAACGGGGCCUCCCGGCCCGGUUCAUGGCCGCAGCCGUCUCGGCUGUGCACGCCGGCAUCGUGACAUGGUGGCCAGGCGCUGGUAAUUGCCGCACCCGACCCCAGCAUACCCGAGGUGCCUGCAGGCCUCUCCACCAUCUCUGCUCCUGGUUCUGUUUCCUCGUGGACGCCAAAGGGGGUCGUGAGCAUUAGAUUGGUUUUUGAGCAUUAGAUCCAUUAACUGAAAGAUAUAGACAUACUCUGUAAUCUGUAUGUGCAAAGCUAGCUAGCUUGCAUUUUUAUUAGUUAAGUGCCGGCUUUCUGAGUUCAAUCCCCCAACUAAUAAUGGUGCCAAAUACCAGGUUUUUUUCUACAUACAUGGAUGCUUUCAUGAUCCACUUUACAUUUGUUUCCCCCUGGGUUCAGUCUGAAUCUUUACAUUACACUUAGAAUCCUACCAUCACCGUCACUGUCACUCUGCAUACAACAUUAAUUCUUAUAUCUAAAUCAGGUUGAUUAGCUUUUGAUGUAAUAUUAUCCGUCUUGCCUAAAAUAAAUCCACAUUCUUACACUCUGGUUUCUUCUUAUACAUCCUACAGUCACUUUCUUAUAAAUAUUUUUUAGCAAUUAGCGUAGAUCGAGAUGAGUUUCUUUCAACACAUUUUAAGACAUAAUGUCAUAUAUUAGAUGUUAUAUGUGCGUCAACAGAGCAGAGGAUUUAGGUUUAGUCAUCAUCUGCAUUGCAUUUGAUUCAGAUUACUAUAAGCUGAUUUUUAAUAGAUAUUUGGUCUUACACGAGUCACAUUGCAUUUUUUUCCUAUAGAUUCAGAGUAGUGUUUUCAUGAACCUAUCACUGAUACUUUGCCUUUCAUGUUCAUUCACAUAUGUCUGGUUUACCCACACAAGGGCACUGUCACAUCCCUAGCUUCUGGCAUUGCUCUAGCCUAGCUUCAUGUGUGCAUCAUGUCUAUAUUUUUGAAACUUGAAUUGAGGAAUAUUGGAAGCCUCAAAACCCUAAAUAAAAGAGGGGCAAAAACCCUAGAAAUCUCAUUCAUUGCUCCAAAAGGCUCUUCUUAAAUGUUUGAUAAUUUUUGGUAAGGGUUCUGGUCCCAACCAAAAUAUUGAACAUUUUUAAGGAUUUAUUUUUGGGACUUUGAAUUUAAAUCAUUAGCUAUUUGAAUUUGAAUUAUAUUCAUAUAAUUAGAAUAUAAUUUCAAAUACCCCUGAAAUAUUUUAUGAGCUUUUGGAAAAGUCCAUCUAGCAACAUAAAUUAUUCAGAGGAUAUUUGGCACUGUUUUGAAUUUGUUUAAAUUUGAAAACAGUGGCAAAGAAAAAAAAAAGAAAA
Molecule: long non-coding RNA, 8153 nt
Filed under: Triticum aestivum (bread wheat)
Lineage: Eukaryota; Viridiplantae; Streptophyta; Magnoliopsida; Poales; Poaceae
Description: long non-coding RNA (TAES_LNC009048)
Source: RNAcentral